This 72-nucleotide transfer RNA is filed under the name Alosa alosa (allis shad). RNAcentral's name for it is "tRNA-OTHER". The record is from RNAcentral. Lineage: Eukaryota; Metazoa; Chordata; Actinopteri; Clupeiformes; Clupeidae.
GCCGUGGCCUACUGGUUAGCGCUUCGGACUUGUAACCUGAAGGUUGCCGGUUCGAACCCCGACCAGUAGGCA